GCAAAGCUAUGCUAUUAAAGUGCAAAGGACCCACCAUGUUGGAUGCGUCCCCAAGUGUGCGUCUAGGAGGACGUUGGUCUGCCAUCUCCUCAAUGUUCUGUGUAGAGGUCUCAAAUGAAGAGUGCAAAAGUUCUUCAGGAGAAGGAAAGUUUUCACUUGCAGGGCGUCUGACUUUCCUCCUUCUCCUGUCUGAGAUGAGGUUGCUGGUCUUUUCUGCUUCUAGUAUGUAUCAUUUCCUGCAUACACAAGAAAC
RNAcentral lists this long non-coding RNA (253 nucleotides) under Vigna radiata. RNAcentral's name for it is "long non-coding RNA (VRAD_LNC001767)". The record is from RNAcentral. Lineage: Eukaryota; Viridiplantae; Streptophyta; Magnoliopsida; Fabales; Fabaceae.